GAUUUCUGGUUCGGCGCACUUGGCCCGUCUCGGUUUACGGGACUGCGUGCCGGUGUGCGCCAUCCAUCCUUCGAGUGAACGCUUCUACCCUUCACUGGGUUGGGAGUGCUGAUCUCGAUCUUUUACUUUGAAAAAAUUAGAGUGUUUAAAGCAGGCUUGCGCUAUGAAUACAUUAGCAUGGAAUAAUAAUUUAGGACUUUGGUCUUAUUUUGUUGGUUUCUAGGACUGAAGUAAUGAUUGAUAGGGACAGUUGGGGGUGCUAGUAUUCAGCGGCCAGAGGUGAAAUUCUUGGAUUCGCUGAAGACUAACUUAUGCGAAAGCAUU
RNAcentral lists this ribosomal RNA (324 nucleotides) under uncultured Cercomonas. RNAcentral's name for it is "SSU rRNA". The stretch from base 112 to 324 matches the Rfam family "Eukaryotic small subunit ribosomal RNA", at positions 741 to 955 of the family's 1831-position model. Lineage: Eukaryota; Cercozoa; Cercomonadida; Cercomonadidae. The record is from RNAcentral.